CCUACGGGUGGCAGCAGUGGGGAAUAUUGCACAAUGGGGGCAACCCUGAUGCAGCGACGCCGCGUGAGUGAAGAAGUAUUUCGGUAUGUAAAGCUCUAUCAGCAGGGAAGAAAUAGCGACCUUUGGGUCGCCAGACGGUACCGGACUAAGAAGCCCCGGCUAACUACGUGCCAGCAGCCGCGGUAAUACGUAGGGGGCAAGCGUUAUCCGGAUUUACUGGGUGUAAAGGGAGCGUAGACGGCAGCACAAGUCUGAAGUGAAAUGCCGGGGCUUAACCCCGGAACUGCUUUGGAAACUGUGCAGAUAGAGUGCAGGAGAGGUAGGUGGAAUUCCUAGUGUAGCGGUGAAAUGCGUGGAUAUUAGGAGGAACACCAGUGGCGAAGGCGGCUUACUGGACUGUAACUGACGUUGAGGCUCGAAAGCGUGGGGAGCAAACAGGAUUAGAUACCCUAGUAGUC
This 458-nucleotide ribosomal RNA is filed under the name uncultured bacterium. RNAcentral describes it as "partial 16S ribosomal RNA". It matches the Rfam family "Bacterial small subunit ribosomal RNA", at positions 338 to 795 of the family's 1533-position model. The record is from RNAcentral.